This 634-nucleotide ribosomal RNA is filed under the name uncultured bacterium. RNAcentral's name for it is "bacterial SSU rRNA". It matches the Rfam family "Bacterial small subunit ribosomal RNA", at positions 291 to 916 of the family's 1533-position model. The record is from RNAcentral.
CCAGAGAGGGUGGUCGGCCACACUGGGACUGAGAUACGGCCCAGACUCCUACGGGAGGCAGCAGUCGAGAGGCUUCGGCAAUGGGGGAAACCCUGACCGAGCGACGCCGCGUGGGUGAUGAAGAUUCUCGGAUCGUAAAACCCUGUCAGGUGGGAUGAAAUACCAUUCGGUUAACACCCGAGUGGCUUGACAGUACCACCAGAGGAAGCUCCGGCUAACUCCGUGCCAGCAGCCGCGGUAACACGGGGGGAGCAAGCGUUGUUCGGAUUCAUUGGGCGUAAAGAGCUCGUAGGCGGCUCUGUAAGUCGGGGGUGAAAUAUCACGGCUCAACCGUGAAAACGCCUUCGAAACUGCGGAGCUUGAGGCCGGGAGAGGAAAUCGGAAUUCCUGGUGUAGCGGUGAAAUGCGUAGAUAUCAGGAGGAACACCGGUGGCGAAGGCGGAUUUCUGGACCGGUUCUGACGCUCAGGAGCGAAAGCCAGGGGAGCAAACAGGAUUAGAUACCCUGGUAGUCCUGGCUGUAAACGAUGGGCACUAGGUGUGGGGGGAUCGACCCCUUCCGUGCCGCAGUUAACGCAUUAAGUGCCCCGCCUGGGGAGUACGACCGCAAGGUUGAAACUCAAAUGAAUUGACGG